AUAGGUGGCAAGCGUUGUCCGGGGAAUUAUUGGGGCGUAAAAGCGCGCGCAGGCGGUCCUUUAAAGUCUGGAUGUGAAAGCCCACGGGCUCAACCGGUGGGAGGGUCAUUGGAAACUGGGGGACUUGAGUGCAGAAGAGGAGAGUGGAAUUCCACGUGUAGCGGUGAAAUGCGUAGAGAUGUGGAGGAACACCAGUGGCGAAGGCGACUCUCUGGUCUGUAACUGACGCUGAGGCGCGAAAGCGUGGGGAGCGAACAGGAUUAGAUACCCUGGUAGUCCACGCCGUAAACGAUGAGUGCUAAGUGUUAGAGGGUUUCCGCCCUUUAGUGCUGCAGCUAACGCAUUAAGCACUCCGCCUGGGGAGUACGGUCGCAAAGACUG
Molecule: ribosomal RNA, 381 nt
Filed under: uncultured organism
Description: partial 16S ribosomal RNA
Rfam family: Bacterial small subunit ribosomal RNA
Source: RNAcentral